UGGGGAAUAUUGGACAAUGGGCGGAAGCCUGAUCCAGCAACGCCGCGUGAGGGAUGACGGCCUUCGGGUUGUAAACCUCUUUCAGCAGGGACGAAGCGCAAGUGACGGUACCUGCAGAAGAAGCACCGGCCAACUACGUGCCAGCAGCCGCGGUAAUACGUAGGGUGCGAGCGUUGUCCGGAAUUAUUGGGCGUAAAGGGCUCGUAGGCGGUUUGUCGCGUCGGGAGUGAAAACCAGGUGCUUAACACCUGGCUUGCUUUCGAUACGGGCAGACUAGAGGUAUUCAGGGGAGAACGGAAUUCCUGGUGUAGCGGUGAAAUGCGCAGAUAUCAGGAGAAACACCGGUGGCGAAGGCGGUUCUCUGGGAAUGACCUGACGCUGAGGAGCGAAAGUGUGGGGAGCGAACAGGAUUAGAUACCCUGGUAGUCCACACCGUAAACGUUGGGCGCUAGGUGUGGGGUCCAUUCCACGGAUUCCGUGCCGCAGCUAACGCAUUAAGCGCCCCGCCU
RNAcentral lists this ribosomal RNA (509 nucleotides) under uncultured Actinomycetes bacterium. RNAcentral describes it as "bacterial SSU rRNA". It matches the Rfam family "Bacterial small subunit ribosomal RNA", at positions 355 to 874 of the family's 1533-position model. Lineage: Bacteria; Bacillati; Actinomycetota; Actinomycetes. The record is from RNAcentral.